Peromyscus californicus insignis is the source of this 9493-nucleotide long non-coding RNA. RefSeq lists it as uncharacterized. The transcript is spliced from 6 exons. The record is from RefSeq and is a predicted model, not a curated record. NCBI's taxonomy places the organism in Eukaryota, Metazoa, Chordata, Mammalia, Rodentia, Cricetidae.
GAAGUGGGUGGGCCAGGAGCUCGGCCUGCUGCUAGGUUUCUGUGUGUGACUAGCGAGUCUCCUCUGUGUUGGUAGUCUGAGCUGAGUUUUUCCCACUCUGGAGGUGGACCCUGGACCCUGUGCAUGUGGGGCGCACUCUGCUGUGAGCCAUUUCGCAGCCCUGAGCUGACUCUACGCAGCUGCAAGCUGAGAAGCCGAGUCCACUGGUCCGCUUCUCUUUUUCCCUUGGUCACUUCAGCGGUGUGUGCAGCCAAGACAGAGGUACAGCCUCGAAGACCCCGCUGCUGGGCGAGGAGUCCCGGGAGAACGGCACACAAGGGAGAGAGAAGGGAGCCGCCAUGACGGACAGGGAGAGGAAAUCCUGACAGAGCCAUCCACGGUGAGAGGCAGGGUGUGGGGGCAGAGGGAGUGUGUGGAGAGCACAGUGGCUGCCACCAGGGGCUGCCUGGAGGGAGGGAACUGUUGGGGGAGGGAGCCUGACCCCAAGCCUUCAGGGACCCCACACAGAUGUCACAGGGAUGUCUCCUGCCUCCAGCCUUGGGUCCAGUGUGCAGCGCGGGUGGAGGAGGGAGGCUGAAGGCCUGCUGGGAGGGAGCACUCCAGUCUCAGCUUUCUCAUUUGGAGGAUGAAAAGACCAAGGUCACAGCACAGGUGACUGGUAUCUUCCAACAAUGUUCGUGCUGCGUAAGCGACAACGACAGAGGUGAAAAGCACCCUGGCUGGAGUCGGCCAGCAGUCAGACGGGAUCCUGAAGCUCAAAAACCUCAAAUCAGUGUGUGUGCUCUGGAGAGAUCAAGGAGGUCUUCCAGAGGAGGCAGCACUAGACUUCCCAGGCAAAGCCAGGAGGUAUACAAACAGCCUGUGCAAAGGCCCUGGGGCAGGCAGCAGUGUGUGUCCACAAAGCCUGAUGGGAACAAACCUAGACAACAAGUUUAUACAGUUCAGUGGGGAAAUGAGACCCAGAGACACCAAGCAACCCACCCCAGAACACACAACCCAAAAGCAGCGGAGGUGGGACUUGACCCUACAUACCCCAUCAGUCCUUCAUGAGAGUCAGUCAACAGCUUGGUCCAAAGAGAUGCUAGUCUGCUUGAAGAACAGUUGGAGAUGUAACUGGCAACAGGGUCCUGUAGCAUCUAGGGAGCUCAGGGUGUUGGACAGUGCCCACUGUCCCCAGGGUACCCUCAUGGAGGGUGAAACCCGGGCAACCAGCAUGACACAGAGUCCGAGUGCUGAUGCAAGAGAGCUCAGGGGACAUGGAGGCUGGAGGAUGUUAGGUCUGCAGAGAUCUUAUCUGGAGUUUGAACCCGGAGGUAGGACUAGAGAGAGUCUAGGCAAGGGAUGGCCAGGGAGAACUUGGGGUGCAGGAGGAACUCUCUGGCCACAGUGUGAACUGGAUUCUGGGGGUGUCAGCAUGGUAUAUGAGAGCAGCAGCUUUUGCUUGGUGGCAGAGUGGGGAGUCAGGGUCAGCCUCCAUAGCGGGUGACUGCUGGGCCAAGAUGGAGGCAGCCCCCUGGCGUGAUGAGGGCUGAGAUGAGGGUGGCAACUGGUUGAAGUGGAGGUGUCAGGCAGGAUUUGGGGUACAGAGCAGGGACAACGGAGGCUUUACCAGGGCAGGACAACAUCACUGACUCGGCUCUGAGGCGCCCCCUGACCACGUGAAGCAUGGGUCCAAGUAGGGUAGGAACGAGGAGACAAGGAGUUGGAAGGGGUGCAGGAUGAGGUGGGGACUACAGGAUGGGGUUGGCUGCAGGCCUGGUGGCCUGAUGGCCUGGUGGCCUGGUGGUGUAGCUCAGUGGAGACAGAGCUCUGGAGAGCCUCUCAGAGACUGCAGUUCCCUUGGUCCUGCGUCCCCAAGUUCUUUCUUCUCCACUGCUGCUCCCAGAUCCUUCAGCGAGCGUCUCUGACAUCAAAUGCUCCCACCACGGUUCUGCCCGGACACACCUGUCAGGGGCGACAGGACGACAGCCAUCUUCUAUAGGCUGCAGCCCGGGAUGCCUAGAGGUCAGAAGAGGACAAAGACACAAACAUUCUGAGACGCCGCCACUUCCUGCAGCGUGGGCAGCCCUGCCCAGCAGGCCUGGGUUCAGGUCCAGCUCCAGGGCUGGCUGCUCAGGGCUCCUGUGCAGGCUGCGGAGCCACACCUCUCUCGGGAGGCGGGGACUCAGGAAGAGCGGCUGUAGGAAGGACCCUGGGGAGCUGGAGCUCUCAGUCCACAGGAAGCCCUGUUGCCCCCCCAGAGCAUCACCACCCACACACCCAGCUCCCAGAGGGUGGCUGUGUGCAGGUCCCACACAAUGACAGCCUGAGACACAUCGCGGUCUCUGUCUCUGGUGUGGAAGGAGGCUCUGGCUGAAGCAGACAGUGCACCCAUCUCACAGAGGCUGGCCCCUGGGAGCCCAGCCUGCUGGUUCCAGGAAUGGGUGACCUCUAUGUAACUGUAUAUUGCGACAUGGGUGUGUGGGCUCACGUGGAUCCGUCGAAAGAAGAUUCAGAGGCACCUUAAGAAUGUAUUUAGCUUUUUGACGGCUGCAGGCUCAGUCUUCUCCAUGCAAGGAUAGCAUCCUGCCCUGAGACCCCACACUCCCCUGGCAGAGCCCAGGGCUGUCCUGAACCAGGCAGGGGGCCACGAUCACCUACAGACCCUCCGUGGACUGUCCCCACUCCACAGAGGCCAGGCAGGAUAGGACACAGAGCCAAGGCUGGCGGUCCUCAGCAUCCCGUGUUGGCCAGGGAAGAGGACUGAUGGCAGCAGCCCCCUGAGCAUCUGUCACAUAACGAAGUGAGAACAAAGAAUGCUGUUUGUCAUUUAACAGGCAAAGCAGGACAGCAGCGCCUGCCUCCGCAGCAGCUGGGAUGGCUCAGGAAGGCGAUGCUGGCCUGAGGUCGGUUCUGCAGGGGGACAGGAGGGGAGUCUGGAGGACAAGGCUGCACUCCGGCUGCCUGUGGUGGGGCUGGACCUUGCCUUCCUGCCAGCAGCAGUAGGCCUUGUUCACUCCAACCUCAGGAUCUUCGCAUCGAUGGCUCUUCCAGGCUGGACUGCGUGCCCCACACUUAGGUCUCCCUGCAGGCCCUCCACCUCACCUUGGGCGGUCACAGCCCAGAUGUCUCCUGUCCCCCAUCACCGUUGGGUCUCUGCUGCAGUCUCUCCACAGUAGGCCAUCACUUAUGUGGGACCAGACACUGGAAAGAGGUCUCUCAGAGGUGGAACGUUAACCCCCAUCCCAAAAUCCUAAACAUACAGUAGGCUCUCAACACACAAAUGUGAUGUCAUCUAUGAGUCAUUUUGUCUCUUUUUAGCCCACCUCUCUCCUUGUUCCAUAGCUGAAAGGCCAUUUCACCGAAGAGGAAAGCUGAGGCAGUGUAGACGUCGCCCCUUUACCAGCCUCCAACUCAAGACACCUGCAUGGACAGCCUGAAUCUUACCUUCCAGUCACAGAGUCGAGCUGCAUGGCCAGAUGCCUCGGCACAAAUCUAGGCUCUCACUGGCUGGGGACCCCCAGUGAGCAGGAGGCUAAGGCAGGAGGAUUGCCAGUUUGAGGCUAACCUAGCCUACAGAGUGAAACCCUAUCUCAAACACAAUCAGCUGGAACCUGGGGAGACGGCCCAGUGGGUGAAGUGGUCACCCCACAGCGUGAGGACCCGAGUUCAACCCGUAAAUCCAUGUAAAAAUCCAAGGACAGCGGCAUACCCCUGUAAUCCCGGUGCUGCCGAGGCCAAGGCAUGGGGAUGCCUGGGGCUCGCCGGCCUGGGGCUCGCCGGUCAGAGACUUUUAUCAGAUCUGUGAGCUCCAGAUUCAGUGAGACCCUGACUCAAAAAUUAAAAUUCGGAGCAAUAGGGAAAGACACUCCAUGUCAGCCUCUAGUCUCUACAUCCCUUCACAUACGCAUGCCCACAUACACACCCCUCCCACAAACACAAAGAACUAAAUAAUGUGGAACUCUAGGGAUGAAGACACUGACAUCAUCCUCCACACACAUGAGCACAUACAUAGGAACAUGUUCACGUGUACACAGGCACACACACAAAUCAAUUUUAUUUUUUAAAACAACAACAACAACAAACCAAAGUGAGUGUCGUUGUCCUUAUUUUACAAGUGAGGAAACUGAGGCAUGGGGAGAUGAUGGCACUGAAGAACAGAACUGAGUCUGAAUCCCAAGUCUAUCCAGACCCAGAGGCCUCCCUGGCAGGGAAUUUGCAGAAACAGGGUGACAGCAGUCUGCCUCCAGCCCGAGACCCAACUCCUGUGGGAGCCUGUCCAGUGGGGGCAGAGCGUGGCUUCCCUACAGCUCCUAGGCUGGGAGACUGUCAUGGCGACAGCAGACCAUAAUAGCUCACAGCCACAGAGCUGUUCCGUACCUCUCGUCAGCUCAGUCUUCCAGAGAUGUGGGAAGCAGAGGUCAUCCAAACACCUGGAUCCAGCUGUGCCUGAAGCAACCCAUCUCUAAGAUGUCUUUAAUGUGACUCACUGAAUUCUUCUUGGCUUGAACUGAUCUGUGUUGGGGUUUGGUCCCUUGUGAGUCGAGUUGGGGAAUCUUGACUAACCCACCUGCCCUCCAGACUUUAUCUAGCCUUCCAUCUCGUCAUCUUUCUGGAGCUGAGGGACACACCCAUUAACUGUCCCAUCCCUGUGCUGACUCACAAGUCCCUAGAGUUUCAGUCCUUCCUUCCCACAUGGGUCUGCCACUUUCCCACACACCCUGCUCGGGACAGAGGGCGUGUGGGUGUGCGUGCCAACGUGUGAGCACGCCCUUGUUCCGGGAAGGUGCCCCGUAGGCUUUGCUUGGCUCCAGAUCAGACCUCGUUAUUAGGUGAUGACAGCUAAUAUAGCCUGUGUCUGCCCCUGAAGCAGGUGGCCGCUUUGCAUGAGCAACGCAGCCAGGCAGGUUUGUGGUCCCCGAGUCCUGAGAGGCCGGCCAAGCCGAGCAGCGGAAGCAGAAACUGCACCCCAAAUCCAAAGUGGCAGGCUCCCCAUUCUGAAGUCAGAAGCAUGUCAACGUGGUUUAUGAUGCAGGCAUUGGAUCACUAGGUACGUGUGUGUGUGUGUGUGUGUGUGUGUGUGUGUGUGUGUGUGUGUGUGUGAAUGACGUGUGACUGGUGUGGGGGAGGUAUGUGGUGGGUGGUAUGGUAUAAGUAUGUGUGAGUAUGUGGGGUGUGUGUAUGUGUGGCAUGUUGUGUUGUAGUAGGUAGGGGGUGAGCAUGGUGUGUGUGCUGUGUUGUAGGUGGUGUGUGUGUGUGUGUGUGCGGUGUGUCAUGUGUGGUAUAUGUGGGGGGUUGCUGCGUGGGUCAAGUCUACACAUAUUUACAAAAUACACCCACAUAGGUAUCCUGUGGGUGUUCACAUGUGUGUAGAUUGUGCACUGCAUUGGAUCACCCACGUGUGCAGAGCCCGGGUGUGGAACAUACAUCUAGAAUACACAUUUGGAAUCAACAGGGACGCAGAGUGCAUGCCAGCUGCGUGGUAGCAUGCGGGUGUGUGGGGGAGGGGCUGAAUGGCACAGGGGCCACGGGUGAGCUUCUGAUUCGGGUGCGUCUCCCUGGGUCCGUGGCUGUGUACCGCAGUCGAUGUGCUGUGAGCACAGUCCUAGUCUCUCCCGAUCCUUGUCCUACAGUCCCCUCUCCUAGAAUGUGGUUUGGGGCAGGGCCUCCUCUUUCCAGGGCCUCCUGUGGCUCCCACCUCACUCAGAUAAAGUAAAGGUCCUCGGGCUGCCCCAUGAGGCCACGCCUGCCCUGGCCCUUCUUUGGACCUUCUCCUAGCCCAUAAUACUCUCCCCUUUCCCUGGCUUCAGUUGUACUGGCCUCUAUGGCUCAGGACAGGCCUGUUGCUGCCUAGAGCCUUUGUACACACUGCUACGUCACCUCCAGCUUCCCAUCCCAGACCCCACACCACUCCAUCGGCUUUCCACUGCACUUGCCUUGGCUCUCGUGGCUUCUCCACACCACUCUGUCAGCUUUCCACUGAAGAUCACUUCCCCAGCAAGCCCUCCCGACCCUUUCAACAUCAUCACUGAGCUUGGGGUUCCUUGGACCUCCAGCAUGUCACCAACCCACUGUCUGCCCCUCCCACAGCCCCCACUCUGAGAGUACACAGUGUGUCUACUUGGUACUGGUCCUGCUCAGCAUACAGUAGGUGCUCAGGCAGUGGCUGGUGAGCAGGACAGACUAGCCAGAGUUCAGGCCCCAGGAUCCCCUGGCCUUGCCUGCCCUCUGGACACUGGUCCCUUCACGGUGCCUGCCUGGCCUCCAGGGAAGGAUCCAUCCUCCCCGGAGCUUUUUUCCCUUCAGGCCCAGGAGCAAGGAGUGGAGGAGGGUGGUCAGGGUUUACAGGCCUGUUCCCAGAGACCUGCCACCUGCCUUGGCUGACAUGGCUUCUCUUCCUCCCCUUGACCCCAGAGAUGAGGUGGGCGAGGGUGGAGAACAGCUCCUACUGUCAGGCACACAGGAUUCCGGAACUUUCUUGGAUGGACCACGAACACCUGCUCUGUUCCCUUCCCACUUGCGGCUGGAAGUUACUAACCGAGCUCUUCCAACUUGCAAUCCGUUGUUUAUUUUCAAAAGGACCAAAAGGGGAAGUGUGGGGUGACGCCCUCCCCCAUCCCAGGAGUUCUCGUCACUGCUGCGUGAUGGCGGAGAGGCUACGCUGAGACCGUCCCCGUGGUCAGUGGGAGCUCAGCGCUGUCCUGGACACACAGUGGUGCAAUCGUGGCCAACGUGUACAUAUCUGAGCAUCGCCACCACCAUGAGAGCACCAGACCUGUGGGGUGGGGCUUGCCAGAGAGAAGCGGAGGCCUCUGUGGUCACAUGCUGCCAAGGGCUGGCCCAGGAUUCAGGGCCAGUACUGACCCCACAUCCCUGUGUGCUAGGGAGUUACAGUGCCCACCGAGGUCCUUUCGACUCCCCCUCAUGUCCCAGUCCGAGGCAGAGUGAGUGUUUUCUCUUUCCUUGCUUUGUUUAUCUGAAACAAGGGCUCGUUCUAUAGUCCAGGCUGCCCAGGACCUCACCAUUCUCCUGCUUCAGCUCCCAAGUGCCACCACCCAGCACGUGGACUCUUUCUUAACCGUGUUGCCUUUGAUCCCAAAAGACCAGAAGUCUGCAGCCUACCCACCUCAGAGAGAACCUGAUCGCCAUCAGCUGGCAGACUGGUUAUUGAUCUAUCCUGAUUGACAAUGAUCUCUCAAUGCCUUCUCCUCUCUGGUGCCCUUCUCCCUGGUAUGGAGAGUACAUCCCUUUGCCCUCAAUUGGAAAUCAGAUGUGACCUCAAAGGCUCCCCCACUUCCCCACCCCAACCCCGUGUUCCUGCAGUGGCUCCCUUUCUCCCUACACAAAGGAGCCAGCUCUCCUAGAAACACCAAGUUCCUGAAUGUUCCUCGGUGUCUUCUCCAAUUGAUGACUGCGGGCAUCUAAUGAGUACACAGGAGGGCUCUGCUGGGGUACAUAAGCAGGGCUGCCUCUGUCUUGGGAGGUAUGGAGACAUUCAAGGUUAUCACAGUCAGGGCGAGCAGUACCACUCACAUCCGGCUGGGUGAGAUCAGGGAUACUGAAGAAGCCAUCUUGGGAGAAAGCCAGGAGUGGCAGCUCUAGAUAUAUGUCCAGAUGCAGAGGCUGAGAAAUCCGGAGGUACGUUCUGGAAGGAAGGCUCCUGACAUAGUGUUCCCAGCAUGCUGAGGAAGAGCUUGCUGCUUUACAGGAUCCUGCAGAGACUGGAAGAGCGCUUCCCUGAGGGGCUCGGCAGAACUGGACUCUGUGCUGGGUUGUAUAUCAGCCAUUGUGAGCCAUGGCCUGGGGCACUCUCAAAUAUCAGGUCUCCGUUUAGAGUCUGUUCAGGCAGCUCAAAGGUGUGCUGUGGGGAUGGCAUCACCUCAGAGAACACUACCAUCUCCAGAGACUGAGUGGGCUGAGACAUGGACUCCAACAAAGACCCUCUCUGGGCCCAGGAACGAAUCUUGCAUCUGUGUGACCACCGGGGGAGGGGAGGUGAUAAAUAAGUGUGACUCAAAGUGUCUGAGAGAAGAAGCAAGCAGAAGGGAGACAGAGUGGGGGGCAGGGUGUGUUUCUGGGAAUAAGGACCAUCCCUUGGCUGGUCACACGGUGCCAAGAUCAUAGCAGGCAGGUGAGAUGGAUCCCAGAUGGCUAUCUGGCCCAGCCAAGGCAUUCACCCCUAAUCAGGAGGAACUGGGGAGCCACCAGCAUUUUAGAGCACAAUGGAGGUGGGGUCUAGGAUGGAGCUCUGACCGGAGUUUGGGAAGAGGAGGCGCCAUCACGGGACAGGUGGGAGGGCAUGGCUAACUGUCCUCUGUCUGCUGAGUCCCUGCAUCUUAAAGUCCCGCAAACUGCCCUGAGCUGGUCUCCUUGCAUUCCCCACCCCAGCCCACCACGGAAGCCUGUUCCUAAGACUGUCUUUAAAAAAAAAACAAAAACAUUUUUAAAAAGACUUUUUGUGUGUGUGCGGUGGUGUUUUGCCUGCAUGUAUGUUUGUGAAGGUGCCAGAUCCCCUGGAAUUGGAGUUAUAGACUGCUGUAAGCUGCCAUGUGGGUGCUGAGAAUUAAACCCAGGUCUUCUGGAAGAGCAGCCAGUGCUCUUAACUGCUGAGCCAUCUCUCCAGUCUCUGCCUGGACUGUCCAAACACACCUGAACCCCACCUCUUUCCACCCUUCUGGUCCCCACCACUCCCUCAGUUCCCACCACAUCUCUCUGCCUAGGCAAUCCCAGGUCCUUUGCACAAGUAGUGCCCGCCCACCCUUUGCAACUGAGCUGAAAAGGCUGGCCCCUCGUGUGGCAUUCCUCUAGCCUGUGAUCUCCACCUCCCAGCCUGAUGGCUCUCUCCUCACCAUGAACCCCAUGCCACCUGCAGAUCAGGUGGAGCACCGCUGUCGAGGCCUUUCACUACCUUCAAGGCUGGGCACAAGCAGGUCACAGGGAACAGAGGUCCGAGCUGCUCCAGUGCCUGAGUGGGGCCCCUGUAGGUGUGCCCCGUGCCUCAGCAGGUCAUCAAAAAGUGAGUCUGAGCUCCUCAUCAGUCCCUGACACCUCCCCUGAGCCACCCACAGCAUCCGAGCAUGUGGCAGCCAGGAAGAGUGACAGGCCAGAAAGAAGGAAGCAAGGGGACCAUGGGCUUGGCUACCUGAGUGCCUCUUGGGAACAGGGUACCAGGGCUCCGUCUGCUGUCACAGGCAGCUGGACCAUAUUCCCAGUGACUCAAGAUAUCCCUAAAGCAAUAACAGUGGAAGCCUCUGGUCAGCAUGGACAGAGUAAGAAAAGCUGAGAUUCUCCCUCAGAAGGAAGCUGAGCUACAGAGACUCUGAGACCAGUCAAGCUGUUGGAAGACGUUUAGCCCAAUUGAGGCACCUGGAAAGGACACUCUGCCACCUGCGGAGCUGCCUGCAGGCUGUGCAGUGUGCUCCGCGUUCCCAGCUUCGAGAGCUGUCACCCAUGCUGGGGUGGGCUUUGGUGAUGCAGCUGUGUUUGAAUCAUUCCUGCUCUUGUGGGUAACCCC